Molecule: transfer RNA, 72 nt
Filed under: Bos taurus (domestic cattle)
Lineage: Eukaryota; Metazoa; Chordata; Mammalia; Artiodactyla; Bovidae
Also listed under: 3 other names
Rfam family: tRNA
About the family: Transfer RNA (tRNA) molecules are approximately 80 nucleotides in length. Their secondary structure includes four short double-helical elements and three loops (D, anti-codon, and T loops).
Source: Rfam by way of RNAcentral
CCCUUGCUGGUCUAGUGGCUAGGAUUACUGGUUUUGAUUCAGGUCACCCAGGUUCAAUUCCUGAGCAGGGAA